GAAAUAUUAGUCUAACCUAAAGACAGUUGAUUUCGACUCAGCAGAUUAUGAUCCACCCCAUAAUAUUUCU
Molecule: transfer RNA, 70 nt
Filed under: Allobates crombiei
Lineage: Eukaryota; Metazoa; Chordata; Amphibia; Anura; Aromobatidae
Description: tRNA-Arg
Source: RNAcentral